RNAcentral lists this long non-coding RNA (486 nucleotides) under Bos taurus (domestic cattle). RNAcentral describes it as "long non-coding RNA NONBTAT025474". The record is from RNAcentral. Lineage: Eukaryota; Metazoa; Chordata; Mammalia; Artiodactyla; Bovidae.
UUAUUAGCAUGUGUUUUAUUUGCUGGAGUGAGAUCCCAGGAAAAAGUAAAGUGAGUUUGCUUUCACAUCAGUUCGACAACAAAGGCAGUGAUUUGCCUUAAUACCAAGAGGAAACAAAGUCUCUUGAACACCCACUGGUUUGCUUCAGUUAAGCAAAACUAGCUUACAGAAUUUUCCUCUACAAGUAUCAACAAAAGGCUUUUCCAAUGAUGCUUAAACACAAGUUGUGCUGGAAGGACUAGCAGCUAUGUGAUGUAUGGUUGUCCUUGGAGUUAUUUCCCAGAUCAUCUCCAUGGUCUCACCCAUACUGUAAACUAGAAUCUACAGUUUAUUUUGCAUAAACCUUUAGGGUAUAAAUGUAACUCAUCACACAUAAGUUAUUUUAAGGGCUAUUAAGUUAUUUUAAGCCCAUCUUCUCCUUUAGGUUUAGAUAUUACAAAUUCUACUUAAAACUGAAGAACUUAAGGACUAGAAGUGUUUAAGACC